AAUCCAUGAUGUGGGCGCUUUCUUAGCAUCGUUUUGAAUCAUCCCCAUGCCUCGUACAGGAACUCACCUUUGUAUUGUUUGAAAUUUGUAAUUUCUUGUUAGAGCU
RNAcentral lists this small nucleolar RNA (106 nucleotides) under Gossypium hirsutum (cotton). RNAcentral's name for it is "Plant small nucleolar RNA R71". It matches the Rfam family "Plant small nucleolar RNA R71". Rfam says of the family: R71 is a member of the C/D box family of snoRNAs containing the C (UGAUGA) and D (CUGA) box motifs. The record is from Rfam by way of RNAcentral. RNAcentral also lists the same sequence under 1 other name. Lineage: Eukaryota; Viridiplantae; Streptophyta; Magnoliopsida; Malvales; Malvaceae.